This 5064-nucleotide long non-coding RNA is filed under the name Sus scrofa (pig). RNAcentral describes it as "lncRNA (ENSSSCG00030054551.1)". The record is from RNAcentral. Lineage: Eukaryota; Metazoa; Chordata; Mammalia; Artiodactyla; Suidae.
CCAGCAUUUCAGGGCCAAGCAUCAUGAGUAAUCCCAGCAUGUAGGAUUAGUAACCUUGUUGAAACCUUAUUUAUUCCAUAAUUAUCAUUUCUAUACUCCCUCUUUACUUCAGUAUUAGAAGCAGCAAUGCUGACAGUUGGAAGAAAUUUAAUUACUAAUAUGAGAUGUUGAAAGAUAGAAGCGGGAUAAGAUGAUAUUUUAGUUGUUUGGCACUUUUUAUCAUCAUCAUGUAAAAUGGACCAUCUUGUUAGUCCACUCUAACACUCAGAGUAGCAGGAAAAUGAUAGUAUGUGUUUAAGUGACUGUAAUUUUCAUAUAAGAGCUUAAAAUCAUGAUCAUAGUAGGAAGAGAAUAUACAGUAAUUCUAGAACAUUUCAUUUGAAAAAAAGAAAUUAAAAUAUACCUGCAUUCCCACCUCCUGGGAUUAAACAUUGUGUUUUCUCUUGUCCCCUUCCUAUGUGUAUGUGACAAGUGACUCCAUGCCUUCCAAAUGCUGUUCCCCCGUGUCCUGUCCAAGUCCCCUUUCCUGGCUGUAGCAUCUUUUACCAUCACCCCAAUCCCGCUCCCUAACCUGUCAGUAAUGCUCACUUAUUGAAAGUGCUCAUUCAGGGGAGAUUUGCUUUUGUUCCCCUGGGAUGUUGGUUUCAUUCUUGACUGGUACCCCUUUUUGCUGCCUCCCUAAGCCGUGGAUCUGGAACCUUGCAACCUGUCACUGGAAGCACCCUUAGUUUUCCUCUGCUUCUCACCUGUCCCAACACAGAUCUGAGCAGCAGGGGAGAGAGAAGUCACUCUGUUACCUGCUCCCCAUCACAACCAAGCUGAUGUCCACCAUACUGGGCCACCUGGGACUCUGAGGGUGACAUUGUAGCCCCCACUGUGUUGGUGGUGGUUGUUUUCCUCUCUCACAAAGAAGGGAUGGGGCUCUCUGGUCAACCUCUGAACACUGGUCCCUCAGGACCUUGAAUUUACUGCACUUACUGGAAACUCCCAGGGCCCUCUGGCACUUCGGUCACUUCUGUCCCCACUGCUGGAUGCUCUCCUGUGUGAAACCUCUGCCUCCCUCCCUUUCCCUUUCUCUCACAGCCUCCUGGGGCUUGACCUCCACAGUCAGUGCUCUUACAAGAUUUGGGGGGAAUCAGCAAGACUCCCCCCCUCAGGCCCCUUCCUUCACGCCCACCCUUGCACCUGUGGGGACACAGUAGAUGUAUGUAAACAGACACAUACAGGCCACACAGCUGGAUGCUAGGUAUUCAGUUUGAUCCUGGAGACAUUUAAAGUAGCAGCACACACUGUGAAUUAUGUAAGUUUGAGCCUGAAGACCAACAGGAACCUACUGCAAACUCCAGUGGUAGGAAUCAUUCAUAUGCAGUAUAUACAUGAUCGUUGAUGUCGGACUGUGUUCAUCAAACCAAGCUGCUAGAACACAAUACCAUGGAGUGAGUGCUUUAUAAACAACAAAUGUGCUCCUCCCAGUUCUGGAGGCUGGACUUCUGAGAUCGGCGUGGCUGGGUUCUGGUGAGAGUCUGGUCACAGACAGCAGACUUGUAUCCUCGUGUGGCAGAAAGAAGGAAUGGGUUUGUCUGGGGUUUCUUUUUUAAGGGCACUAAUCCUUUUCAUGGGGGCUACACCCUCCUGACCUAAUUACCUCCUCAUACCACCCUUGUACCAUCACAUUGGGGUCUAGGAUUUUAGUGUAUGAAUUUGGGAGGGAUAAACAUUCAUUUCAUUGCACUGACACAUGGGUGAGUGACACACUGGGAUGGUUUAGUCACAUCCAAAUCUACAGAUUUGCCAUCUAAAUUCAGUCCCCAAGCAAACAUUCCCUCUCCUAUGGACUCCCCUGUGCUUGUCACAGCUGGUGCUGGAUAAAAUACCCAUGAGCUGGGUGACACAUCCUAAAACUGUUCUUUGCUUCAAGGAGAGUGGGUUUGUCUCAAACCACUUUCAGUGUAUGUAGAGCUUGAUUCCCUUGUUUCACACAUUCCUGUUCACCUGGUUACAUGGAGUGGGGUUAUGAUUCACAGGGUGGCCAACUGACAUCCCAGACAACUUGGGGAAAGAAAAGAAGAGAAACAGUCCCUGAAACACAGCAGGAUUAUUGAUUAGAGCUCUUUUCAGAACUCACUGGGCCAGGCUCACUGAGUGUAUUAUGAAGCCAUGCAUUAAAGUUGUUAUCCAGUCAUUGUGAUAACUUAUAAUAUUAACUAACUCUAUUGUGAUAACAUGCAGUCAUUUUACUGUUAUACAUAUUGCUUUUAAAGCCAUUUGUUGUGCCUUUAUGAAGUACCUAGUGGUGCCCUGAAAUGGAGACAUCGCAUAGUUCAAAUGCACUGAGUCUUUGUUAUUCUUUGUUUUGCUUUGUCUCUUCCUCUCAAGAUGAAAUUACAGAUACUUUUGUGGAGAGAGACUCGGACACAGAAGGGUUGGGGGUAGGGGUUUGCUCAUGCUUCUGGGGUCCUCUGGGACACUUUGGCUGUCAGUGCAGAUGGUUUAAGGAAGUGGAAUUGUGAUAAUGUUCCUUUUCUUUGCUCUUCUUUGUCCAAUUUUGAUGUUGCUGAAAUCUGGCAACUCAUGGUUGAUUUUGCUGAUUCACAUCCCUGAUCAUUUGAUAGAGCAUGUAGUUCAAUUCAACCUUAAAUACAAAGGGAACUGAAUUGCCAUUCAAAUAAAGAAGCUUUUCCAUUUUUAGGUAGAAGGAGAUGAUAUGUUUUGUGAAGGCACACAGACCUGAAAUCAACCUGAUGAAUUUUUCAUAUGGCUUUUCAUUUUCUUUCAAUUUAUCCACUAGUUCUCUUUCAACAUCUAACAUUUUCAGCAGCCCAGGCACAGUGAUUCAUGGAUGAGGUACAAGCAUUUUCUAGGUCUAGUUCAGGUGACACACAAGCUGUGGGGACUGUCUUCCCCACACAUACAUUAGGUGGCAAGAGCAAAAUGCACACCACUUUCAUUUUUACCUUGUUUGAUGAACUUGCCUGCAUGAUUGAGUUGUGGUGGUGGUCCUAUAAGUGUUUGUUAACAAGUUGUGGUGAAAAUUCACUGGUUAUGAAGCCGGAGCUUCCAGGCUGCUUAUGCCACUAACUCAUGUCCUCUUGAAACUUCUUUGGGUUCCUGUUCUGCACCACUGUGAACAGGGGAUAGAGCAUGGCUGAGUCCAGUUCAGUUAAAAAAGCUCCUCUCUCUAGGUAAAUUUUAGUGUUGAACUUGUUUUCUAAUUCUGAUAUUUAUUUCAAUCCCACAGUGUUCUAUUGAUGUCAGUCUCUAAUUAUUCUAGGCAACCACGUAAUGAGUGUUGACUCAUUAAAUGUCACAACCACUCUGAGAAGUGGAUGCUGUUUUAUAGGUGGAAAACUGAGGCCCAGGUAAGAUACCUUGUCCAAGGUCAAAGCACCACAGAUAGGACAGGCAUAUAGAAGUUCCUAGCCAGAGGUAGAAUCAGAGAUGUAGCUGAGGGCAUAGCCACAGCAAUGCCAGAUCUGAGAUGCAUCUUUGACCUACACCACAGCUCAUGGCAACACUGGAUCCUUAACCCACUGAGUGAGGCCAGGGAUCAAACCUGCAUCCUCACAGACACUAUUUCAGUUCUUAACCCUCUGAGCCACAACAGGAACUCCCAUUCCUUUUCUUAGAGAAAAAGAGAAAUGCAAGCAUUUCUUGAAAUUGUAGGACUUCAAGAGUUCAGAACUGAUUCAAGUCUAUAUAUCGUGUACCAAUUAAACUUUAAUAUUUUUAAAAGCUAUGUUCGUUUAAUUGAUCCUACUUUAAUGUCUGGCAAUAUGAUUACAUUUUUUUUCUUUAUAUGCCAGCUUAGUUUUCAUGAUUUAUCAGGAUAUUUUUCUUCAAUGUUGAAAGGAUUAAUGAGGAUACAAAAAAUUACUUUUAGACACUUACUUAUCUCAUUACAAUGCAUCCCAUUAUAAAUAAGGUCAAAGAUAUCAGUAGAAGGAUCUUUGUGUGGGGGAUGUAGCAGUUGGCUCAGAUAAAUGUGCACUUACCACUGGGUAGAUGGACUUUGCUAUUUUUCACAAACUGUUCAAUGAGCACAAUGUCAUGUAAUAUACCAACAUACGUGAAGGAAGGUCAGUAGCAAUCAUAAUGUUAAUGCAGCUUUAACAUAAAUGUAUAAAGUCAGUGACUCAGUAGAAGUAUUACAAUUUUCUCUAUCAAGAAACACACUUUGCUAGACCUAAUUAUUUACUCUUUAACAAAUUACUUAGCUAAAUUUGGAAGCUUUAGGGAAUUUAUUAUUAUUAUUACUUAAAAUUUCAUAUUAUUUUUUUCAUUUUUUAAAGUUUUACUGACAUAUAGAUGAUUUACAAUGUUGUGCUAGUUUCUGCUAUCAACGAAGUGAUUCAGUUAUAUGUGUACACACAUCCAUUCUCUUUCAGAUUCUUUUCUUACCUACAUUAUUAUUAUUAUUUAAACAAACAUAGUUGGCACAAGGCCUCACCUUGAGUUACUUUAAGGUGACUUCUUGGGGUAAAGACAUGCUCAGAGGUGCUGCGCAGGUGGGCAGGGGAGGAUUCACAUCCCUGUGGGGACCAGGGUAUAAGCACAGGUGUGUGAGCUUCUGUCCCUGAUCUCAGAGAGGUGACUUUCAGAUCUGGGUUGCAAGGGAUUGUUUUAGAUAACUGAAAUAUUACUUCCAUGAAUUUCCUUUAUUAGGUAAUUAACACUACCAGUUAUAAGAAAUAAAACUUGGCAAGCUAGGGCCUGUAGCCAACAAAGGUUAUUUCUGUUCACGUCACUGCCACUGUGGGUUCAGCAGGCAGCCCACCUAAACCAGGCAGGCAGCAACACAACAUGCGUGUGUUACUCAGUGUCAUUUAUCAAACACAUCAUCAAAUACACAGAGACCGUAGCUUCCAUUAGAUCUCGUAGCAAGUGUAUGGACAUUUCUAGUGUUCUUAAUCUCCCGCCCUUGCCCAAAAUAUACAUCUUGGAGCCCCUUCAUCUUCCUUUCUAAUGGAAGCAUGGGUUUUUUCCUUUUUAAACAUUAUUUAAAAGCCAUUGAUAGGAGUUCCCUGUGGCUCAGUGGAUUAAGGACCUAGCAUUGUCACAGCUGUG